This 294-nucleotide ribosomal RNA is filed under the name uncultured microorganism. RNAcentral's name for it is "partial 16S ribosomal RNA". It matches the Rfam family "Bacterial small subunit ribosomal RNA", at positions 505 to 796 of the family's 1533-position model. The record is from RNAcentral.
GUGCCAGCAGCCGCGGUAAUACGGAGGGUGCAAGCGUUAAUCGGAAUUACUGGGCGUAAAGCGCACGCAGGCGGUUUGUUAAGUCAGAUGUGAAAUCCCCGGGCUCAACCUGGGAACUGCAUCUGAUACUGGCAAGCUUGAGUCUCGUAGGGGGGGGUAGAAUUCCAGGCGUACCGGCGAAAUGCGUAAAGAUCUGGAGGAAUACCGGUGGGGGAAGGCGGCCCCCUGGAGAAGGAUUGACGUUCAGGUGCGAAAAGCGUGGGGAGCAAACAGGGUUAGAUACCCUGGUAGUCC